RNAcentral lists this transfer RNA (71 nucleotides) under Marmota monax (woodchuck). RNAcentral describes it as "tRNA.Ala". The record is from RNAcentral. Lineage: Eukaryota; Metazoa; Chordata; Mammalia; Rodentia; Sciuridae.
GGGGUUGUGGCUCAGCGGUAGAGCACUUGCCUAGCCUGUGUGAUGUCCUGAGUUCAAUCCUCAGCACCACA